Molecule: long non-coding RNA, 659 nt
Filed under: Piliocolobus tephrosceles (Ugandan red Colobus)
Lineage: Eukaryota; Metazoa; Chordata; Mammalia; Primates; Cercopithecidae
Description: lncRNA (ENSPTEG00000035687.1)
Source: RNAcentral
AUGUUCUGGGGUGGAAUAAAGGGAGGUGGAGGGUGGGGUGCCUGGGCCCAGCCUCACUGGCUCCUGGUCCUUCUUUCUUCGGCAGGGAGUUCUGGCAAGGCCUGGGCCUGGGGAGGGGGCCUGGGUGCGGUUUUCUCCUGCGGUGUGGUUGGCUCUUUUGUCUUCCAGGAUGAGCCUGUGGGGUCUGUGUGGGGAAGGAAGGAGCUGGGAGCCUGGACUGCCUGUGUGUCUGCUGGAUGCUGCCAGGCCCAGAACAUUCCUGCUCAUGGGAAGACGGCCAGGGAACCAGCACCGGAAUGGACCAAGCAACUUCUCCGAGCCAGAUGCUGGGGAUGCAGAAGUGAACGCAGAGACAUGAUCCCAUCUGCUCGGAUCUUCAUGUCAGAACACGCUUUAUUACAGUCUCGGCGAGGGGGUGGCUCCAUCUGGGCUGCAUCUCCAGCACUCCUGGCCUGGCCUUCUCUUUGGACCUCGGGUGACCCUGGACUCUGGCCACAGUAACUUAGCGGGCAGACUCCGGUGGUUUUCUAGCACCCUGGGUGACUCCCUGAAGAUCUCACCCUCCUCACCUGUUGGGAUGGAGCCUUCCAUGGAUAGGAGCUCUUCCUGGCUGAUGCUCAGUGGACGACUGGAUCUGGCUCUGGAGGACGACUCCAGGG